GGUGGCUCAGUGGUAGAGUGCUUGCCUGGCAUGCAUUAGGCCCUGGGUUCAAUUCCUCAGCACCA
Molecule: non-coding RNA, 65 nt
Organism: Dipodomys ordii (Ord's kangaroo rat)
Lineage: Eukaryota; Metazoa; Chordata; Mammalia; Rodentia; Heteromyidae
Source: Rfam